AUCCAAGGUCAUACAACCUUGAAUGUGCCUGAUCUCGGAAGCUAAGCAGGGCUGCGCUUGGUAAGUACUUGGACAGGGGAAUGGGGUGAGGGUAGCGUCCUUCAGUG
This 107-nucleotide ribosomal RNA is filed under the name Tupaia belangeri (northern tree shrew). Lineage: Eukaryota; Metazoa; Chordata; Mammalia; Scandentia; Tupaiidae. The record is from RNAcentral.